This 482-nucleotide ribosomal RNA is filed under the name uncultured bacterium. RNAcentral describes it as "bacterial SSU rRNA". It matches the Rfam family "Bacterial small subunit ribosomal RNA", at positions 30 to 506 of the family's 1533-position model. The record is from RNAcentral.
UUGAACGCUGGCGGAAUGCUUUACACAUGCAAGUCGAGCGGCAGCGCGGGGGCAACCUUGGCGGCGAGCGGCGAACGGGUGAGUAACAUAUCGGAACGUACUUAGACGUGGGGGACAACUAGUCGAAAGACUAGCUAAUACCGCAUAUGUCCUGAGGGAGAAAGCGGGGGAUCGCAAGACCUCGCGCGUUUGGAGCGGCCGAUAUCUGAUUAGCUAGAUGGUGGGGUAAAGGCUCACCAUGGCGACGAUCAGUAGCUGGUCUGAGAGGAUGAUCAGCCACACUGGAACUGAGACACGGUCCAGACUCCUACGGGAGGCAGCAGUGGGGAAUUUUGGACAAUGGGGGAAACCCUGAUCCAGCCAUUCCGCGUGAGUGAAGAAGGCCUUCGGGUUGUAAAGCUCUUUCGGCAGGAACGAAACGGCGGAAUCUAAUACAUUCCACUAAUGACGGUACCUGAAGAAGAAGCACCGGCUAACUACGU